UCAUCAGGCGCAAUAAUCCUUAGCUGUUCCUCCUUUUGGAGGAUAGAUAGAACAUGAUAAUUGGAGUUUGCAUGACAUGCAUGAUUAACAUCUCUGAGUAAUCAGGACUUGCAACACCUUGAUUGCUCCUAUCUGAU
This 137-nucleotide small nucleolar RNA is filed under the name Carlito syrichta (Philippine tarsier). Its description in RNAcentral is "U8 small nucleolar RNA (ENSTSYG00000019736.2)". It matches the Rfam family "U8 small nucleolar RNA". From Rfam's summary of the family: U8 is a member of the C/D class of snoRNA which contain the C (UGAUGA) and D (CUGA) box motifs. U8 is the RNA component of a small complex (the U8 snoRNP) which is required for accumulation of mature large subunit ribosomal RNAs, 5.8S and 28S rRNAs. U8 RNA has been identified in human, mouse, rat and Xenopus. The record is from Rfam by way of RNAcentral. Lineage: Eukaryota; Metazoa; Chordata; Mammalia; Primates; Tarsiidae.